Molecule: ribosomal RNA, 478 nt
Filed under: uncultured bacterium
Lineage: Bacteria
Description: bacterial SSU rRNA
Rfam family: Bacterial small subunit ribosomal RNA
Source: RNAcentral
GACGAACGCUGGCGGCGUGCUUAACACAUGCAAGUCGAACGGUGAAGGGAAGCUUGCUUCCCGGAUCAGUGGCGAACGGGUGAGUAACACGUGGGCAAUCCGCCCCAGACUUUGGGAUAACUACUCGAAAGAGUAGCUAAUACCGAAUAUUCAGCCUUGCAGGCAUCUGCGAGGCUGGAAAGUUUCUCGGUCUGGGAUGAGCCCGCGGCCUAUCAGCUAGUUGGUGAGGUAAUGGCUCACCAAGGCGACGACGGGUAGCCGGCCUGAGAGGGCGACCGGCCACACUGGGACUGGGACACGGCCCAGACUCCUACGGGAGGCAGCAGUGGGGAAUAUUGCGCAAUGGGCGAAAGCCUGACGCAGCAACGCCGCGUGCGGGAUGAAGGCCUCGGUGUAACCGCUUCAGCAGGAAGAAGACGAAGUAGACGGUACCUGCAGAAGAAGCACCGGACUAACUACGUGCCAGCAGCCGCGGUAA